AUACGUAGGGUGCAAGCGUUAAUCGGAAUUACUGGGCGUAAAGCGUGCGCAGGCGGUUUUGUAAGACAGUGGUGAGAUCCCCGGGCUCAACCUGGGAACCGCCAUUGUGACUGCAAGGCUGGAGUGCGGUAGAGGGGGAUGGAAUUCCGCGUGUAGCAGUGAAAUGCGUAGAUAUGCGGAGGAACACCGAUGGCGAAGGCAAUCCCCUGGGCCUGCACUGACGCUCAUGCACGAAAGCGUGGGGAGCAAACAGGAUUAGAUACCCUGGUAGUCCACGCCCUAAACGAUGUCAACUGGUUGUUGGGGAUUUAUUUUCUCAGUAACGAAGCUAACGCGUGAAGUUGACCGCCCGGGGAGUACGGCCGCAAGGUUAAAACUCAAAUGAAUUGACGG
RNAcentral lists this ribosomal RNA (393 nucleotides) under uncultured bacterium. Its description in RNAcentral is "partial 16S ribosomal RNA". It matches the Rfam family "Bacterial small subunit ribosomal RNA", at positions 523 to 916 of the family's 1533-position model. The record is from RNAcentral.